CCUACGGGGAGCUGCAGUGGGGAAUAUUGGACAAUGGGGGGAACCCUGAUCCAGCCAUGCCGCGUGUGUGAAGAAGGCCCUCGGGUUGUAAAGCACUUUCAGUGAGGAAGAACGCCUGGUGGUUAAUACCCAUCAGGAAAGACAUCACUCACAGAAGAAGCACCGGCUAACUCCGUGCCAGCAGCCGCGGUAAUACGGAGGGUGCGAGCGUUAAUCGGAAUUACUGGGCGUAAAGCGCGCGUAGGUGGCUUGAUAAGCCGGUUGUGAAAGCCCCGGGCUCAACCUGGGAACGGCAUCCGGAACUGUCAAGCUAGAGUGCAGGAGAGGAAGGUAGAAUUCCCGGUGUAGCGGUGAAAUGCGUAGAGAUCGGGAGGAAUACCAGUGGCGAAGGCGGCCUUCUGGACUGACACUGACACUGAGGUGCGAAAGCGUGGGUAGCAAACAGGAUUAGAUACCCUUGUAGUC
RNAcentral lists this ribosomal RNA (465 nucleotides) under Vreelandella stevensii. RNAcentral's name for it is "partial 16S ribosomal RNA". It matches the Rfam family "Bacterial small subunit ribosomal RNA", at positions 338 to 795 of the family's 1533-position model. The record is from RNAcentral. Lineage: Bacteria; Pseudomonadati; Pseudomonadota; Gammaproteobacteria; Oceanospirillales; Halomonadaceae.